Molecule: long non-coding RNA, 1465 nt
Organism: Marmota monax (woodchuck)
Lineage: Eukaryota; Metazoa; Chordata; Mammalia; Rodentia; Sciuridae
Exons: 3
Source: RefSeq, a predicted model, not a curated record
GAUGAGGAAACUGAGGUUCUGAGCCGUGGAUCGUCUGCUUGAAGUCGCGCUGCUGCUACUUGGCGAGGCUGGACUUUGAGCCCAAAUGGGCUGAGUCCAAGUCUCCAGAGUUGUGAAGAUCGCUCCUCUGCAAAGGAUUCAGGUGGAGGAACCAGGCUCCGGGGGAUCUAGGGAAACGGACGAAUUGAGCUUCCAAACAGAGCUGCCUCCUAGGGCCAUGCACUUUGUCCAGCUCUCAAACUGAACUCUGCUCUGAAGGUUGGCACUGUGGGAACAGAAAUCACCUACGAACACGAAUCUGAAGGUGCUGCGACCAACAGAGGCCCACAGUGACCCCGCCUGCAGCCAGCCUCCCCCCGGAGCCCCGCCGCGCCCUCCCGACAGCUGCCCAGACCAGACACCCCUGGACCCGCCCGCAGCUCUUCAUUCCUCUCUCCCACUUCUUUCUUCUCAAAUCCAACCAGUCGCCAAGCUCUGCAUACCUUGUGCUUCGAUCCGGGUCUGGCACUUGCCCGCAGCCUAUAAAUACCAGCUGCUGCUAAGAGACCACAUCCCCCUCGUCCCUGCUCCCCUCCCCCACCGUCUUCCAGCUCUCCUCUCUCUUCUUUAUCAAACAUCCAACGCCUUUGAAUACCCACCCUCCUCCCCUGCCUUCCUCUUGGCUUCUGUCUGGAUUGGGCCUCCAGCCUCCAGCCUGGACAAUUGCUGUGGCUUCCGUACUAGUUGCUUCUCUCUGGUUUUGCCCCUGUCCAUUUCCCAUCUUCAUCUCAGUGCUGCCAUGAUCUCUCUAAAAGAUUAAUGCAAUGACAACGCUCCUUUUUUCCAAAUGCUUUUGUAACAGGGGUCCACCUUAUGCUCUGAAUACAGCCCUUGCUGCUCUACCAAUGGGACUUAUUUUUUUUUAAAUGGAUUUAAUUUAAAUUCUCAGUCUAUACUCAAAGGACUUAAAAUCAGCAUACUACAGUGACGUGGCCACAUCCAUGUUUAUACCAGCUCAAUUUACAACAGCUAAACGGUGGAACCAACCUAGAUGCUCUUCAAUAGAUACACAAUGGAAUAUUACUCAGCCUUAAAGAAAAAUGCAAUUAUGGCAUUUGCAGGUAAAUGGAUGAAGUUGGAGAAUAUCAUGCUAAGCAAAGUAAGCCAAUCCCCAAAAAACUGCAGGUCAAAUAUUUUCUCUGAUAAGUGGAUGCUGAUCCAUAGUGGGGGUGGGAGCCAGGAAAGAAUGGAGGAACUUUGGAUUGAGCCGAGAGGAGGGAGGGAAAGGGGGGAGUAUGGGGGUGGAAAAGAUGGUGGAAUGAGAUGGACAUUAUUACUCUAUGUACGGGUGUGAUUGCACGGGAGGUGCGACGCUACAUUGUGUUCAACCAGAGAAAUGAAAGGUUGUGCUCCAAUUGUGUACACCGAGUCGAAAUGCAUUCUGCCGUUGUGUGUAACUAAUUAGAACAAAUAAAAAUUUUUUUUA